GAGCCAUGGCUGGUUGGCUCCUGCACACCUGAGAAGUGCCCUAUUUUGGUCGGUAUUUGAUAAUGCGGAAGAAGAGACCUAGAUGGACAUUGCAAGAAUAAAGCCCUAUGGAAAGGUGUAACCCUCAAAUCAAAGGCUGCAAUUCAGUGAAAACGUGUACUAAUAUGCUUGCUGCUGCUAAUUGAGACUAUGAGGAAAACAAUUUGUUCCUACCAUUAUUCCUGGGCAGAAAAAAAACAACAAAACCAAAAUAAUGAUUUCACAUGAAAAUUUACAACAUUCCAACACAUGGGGCUGAUAUGUAAAUUUGUAUUACCAGCAUGGUGAGGAAAAAUCUUGAGCUCAGACUUUAUGUUAUUAAUAAAUGGUCGCAGUUUG
Molecule: non-coding RNA, 378 nt
Organism: Microcebus murinus (gray mouse lemur)
Lineage: Eukaryota; Metazoa; Chordata; Mammalia; Primates; Cheirogaleidae
Source: RefSeq, a predicted model, not a curated record